This 1409-nucleotide ribosomal RNA is filed under the name Bacillus anthracis (anthrax bacterium). RNAcentral's name for it is "bacterial SSU rRNA". The stretch from base 1 to 1009 matches the Rfam family "Bacterial small subunit ribosomal RNA", at positions 531 to 1533 of the family's 1533-position model. Lineage: Bacteria; Bacillati; Bacillota; Bacilli; Caryophanales; Bacillaceae. The record is from RNAcentral.
GGGGUGACCGUUAUCCCGGCAUUAUUCGGCGCGUAAAGCGCGCGCAGGUCGGUUUCUUAAGGCUGAUGUCAAAGCCCACGGCUCAACCGUAGGAGGGUCAUUGGAAACUGGGAGACUUGAGUGCAGAAGAGGAAAGAGGAAUUCCAUGUGUAGCGGUGAAAUGCGUAGAGAUAUGGAGGAACACCAGUGGCGAAGGCGACUUUCUGGUCUGUAACUGACACUGAGGCGCGAAAGCGUGGGGAGCAAACAGGAUUAGAUACCCUGGUAGUCCACGCCGUAAACGAUGAGUGCUAAGUGUUAGAGGGUUUCCGCCCUUUAGUGCUGAAGUUAACGCAUUAAGCACUCCGCCUGGGGAGUACGGCCGCAAGGCUGAAACUCAAAGGAAUUGACGGGGGCCCGCACAAGCGGUGGAGCAUGUGGUUUAAUUCGAAGCAACGCGAAGAACCUUACCAGGUCUUGACAUCCUCUGAAAACCCUAGAGAUAGGGCUUCUCCUUCGGGAGCAGAGUGACAGGUGGUGCAUGGGUGUCGUCAGCUCGUGUCGUGAGAUGUUGGGUUAAGUCCCGCAACGAGCGCAACCCUUGAUCUUAGUUGCCAUCAUUAAGUUUGGCACUCUAAAGUGACUGCCGGUGACAAACCGGAGAAGGUGGGGAUGACUUCAAUCAUCAUGCCCUUAUGACCGGGCUACACACGUGCUACAUGGGACGGUACAAAGAGCUGCAAGACCGCGAGGGGGAGCUAAUCUCAUAAAACCGUCCUCAGUUCGGAUUGUAGGCUGCAACUCGCCUACAUGAAGCUGGAAUCGCUAGUAAUCGCGGAUCAGCAUGCCGCGGUUGAAUACCUUUCCCGGGCCUUUGACACACCGGCCCGUCACACCCCCGAAAAGUUUGUAACCCCCCCAAAGUCGGUGGGGGUAAACCCUUUUUGGAGGCCGGCCCGCCUAAAGGGGGGGACCAAAAGAAUUGGGGGUGAAGGUCGUAACAGGGGGAAAACCCUUAAAAAANUUNUNUNUNNUGUNUUUUUUUUGUUUUUUUUUUUUUGUGGUUUUUUUUUUGGUUGUUGUGUGUUUUUUUGUUUUUUUUUCUUGCCUAUUUUCUUCUUCUUCUCUCCUGUCUUAGUCAAUUAAAUUAAAAAAUGAAGAAGACUAACUACCUUACAGCACUCCUGUGAUGAUGCGUCUUAUUUGCUCUAUUACUUGAUUAUAUUUCAUAUUUGAUAGAGGAUAUUUGAAAAUAAACAAUAUAGAUAGUGAGAUGUCUUUUUGUAGAAUCGGUUGGCGUGUAUAAUGAGUUGAGAGGGUGUAUUGUUGCUUGGUUUGUUUUCUGCUUUAAUAUUUCACUUUUGUAUUUCGANAAAAUGUCGGAAAGUGAUAAAUAUUGAUCUCUUAUUUUGUUCAUCAUCUCUGCUUAU